AGCGAACGCUGGCGGCAGGCCUAACACAUGCAAGUCGAACGAACCUUUCGGGGUUAGUGGCGGACGGGUGAGUAACACGUGGGAACGUGCCUUUAGGUUCGGAAUCACUCAGGGAAACUUGUGCUAAUACCGCAUGUGCCCUUCGGGGGUAAGAUUUAUCGCCUUUAGAGCGGCCCGCGUCUGAUUAGCUAGUUGGUUGAGGUAAUGGCUCACCAAGGCGACGAUCAGUAGCUGUUCUGUGAGGAUGAUCAGCCACAUUGGGACUGAGACACGGCCCAAACUCCGACGGGAGGGAGCAGUGGGGAAUCUUGCGCAAUGGGCGAAAGCGUGACGCAGCCAUGCCGCGUGAAUGAUGAAGGGCUUAGGAUUGUAAAAUUCUUUCACCGGGGACGAGAAUGACGGUACCCGGUGAAGAAGCCCCGGCUAACUACGUG
This 434-nucleotide ribosomal RNA is filed under the name uncultured bacterium. RNAcentral describes it as "partial 16S ribosomal RNA". It matches the Rfam family "Bacterial small subunit ribosomal RNA", at positions 29 to 507 of the family's 1533-position model. The record is from RNAcentral.